RNAcentral lists this ribosomal RNA (552 nucleotides) under uncultured Actinomycetes bacterium. RNAcentral describes it as "bacterial SSU rRNA". It matches the Rfam family "Bacterial small subunit ribosomal RNA", at positions 262 to 826 of the family's 1533-position model. Lineage: Bacteria; Bacillati; Actinomycetota; Actinomycetes. The record is from RNAcentral.
GGCCUACCAAGGCGACGACGGGUAGCCGACCUGAGAGGGUGACCGGCCACACUGGGACUGAGACACGGCCCAGACUCCUACGGGAGGCAGCAGUGGGGAAUAUUGCACAAUGGGCGGAAGCCUGAUGCAGCGACGCCGCGUGAGGGAUGACGGCCUUCGGGUUGUAAACCUCUUUCAGCAGGGACGAAGCGUGAGUGACGGUACCUGCAGAAGAAGCACCGGCUAACUACGUGCCAGCAGCCGCGGUAAUACGUAGGGUGCGAGCGUUGUCCGGAAUUACUGGGCGUAAAGAGUUCGUAGGCGGUUUGUCGCGUCGUUUGUGAAAACCCGGGGCUCAACUUCGGGCUUGCAGGCGAUACGGGCAGACUUGAGUGUUUCAGGGGAGACUGGAAUUCCUGGUGUAGCGGUGAAAUGCGCAGAUAUCAGGAGGAACACCGGUGGCGAAGGCGGGUCUCUGGGCAGUAACUGACGCUGAGGAGCGAAAGCGUGGGGAGCGAACAGGAUUAGAUACCCUGGUAGUCCACGCCGUAAACGGUGGGCGCUAGGUGUGGG